RNAcentral lists this ribosomal RNA (205 nucleotides) under Escherichia coli. RNAcentral's name for it is "partial 16S ribosomal RNA". It matches the Rfam family "Bacterial small subunit ribosomal RNA", at positions 1 to 211 of the family's 1533-position model. Lineage: Bacteria; Pseudomonadati; Pseudomonadota; Gammaproteobacteria; Enterobacterales; Enterobacteriaceae. The record is from RNAcentral.
UUAAAUUGAAGAGUUUGAUCAUGGCUCAGAUUGAACGCUGGCGGCAGGCCUAACACAUGCAAGUCGAACGGUAACAGGAAACAGCUUGCUGUUUCGCUGACGAGUGGCGGACGGGUGAGUAAUGUCUGGGAAACUGCCCGAUGGAGGGGGAUAACUACUGGAAACGGUAGCUAAUACCGCAUAACGUCGCAAGACCAAAGAGGGG